AGUUAUCUUCGUAUGAUCACGGUGUUGCAACCAAUGUGGAAAAGAGAACUUUAGGGUUUUCUUCUGGUGGGGGAGAGAGGAGCAGUAGCAGUAACCUAUCUCCAUCUCAGGAUUCAGAUUCACGUGCUCAAGACACUAGGUCUAGCCUGUCUCUACAAUUAUUUACCUCAUCUCCCGAGGAUGAGAGUCGACCAACGGUGGCAUCUUCUCGAAAGUAUUAUUCUUCUGCAAGCAGUAAUCCUGUUGAGGAUAGAUCUCCGUCGUCCUCCCCGGUCAUGCAGGAAUUAUUCCCAUUGCAGACGUCCCCUGAAACCAUGAGGUCUAAGAAUCACAAUAACUCAAGUCCCAGGACUGGUUGCCUACCGCUUGAGCUCUUUGGUGCAUCAAAUAGGGGAACUGCAAACACUAAUUUUAAAGGUUUCGGGCAACAGUCUGGGUAUGCUUCUUCUGGUUCUGACUACUCUCCUCCCAGCUUAAACUCUGAUGCUCAGGUUUGCAGCUUUUCAACUUCUCUUUAGCAUCUAUUUGUACGUAGAUAAAACAAACCACUUAUGGUUUUUAUAUAUAUGACAUAUAAACAGGACCGCACUGGAAAGAUAGUCUUCAAACUACUUGAUAAAGAUCCAAGUCAGCUCCCUGGGACAUUACGAUCGGAGGUGAUAAUUUCUGAGCAUGAUAUAGCCUUAUCUUAAAUAUUUAAGUUAUUGAUUGCUUCUGUUACAGUCCUCAUACUUAUUGUCCCCCUGUAACAGAUCUAUAACUGGCUUUCGAACAUUCCAUCAGAAAUGGAGAGUUAUAUUAGGCCUGGCUGUGUUGUUCUAUCUGUCUAUAUAGCGAUGACACCUGCAGCCUGGGAGCAGGUGAGUGGAUAUUAUGUUUUAAGUUUUUGGUUAUUGAAUCACUCAAUGCUAUGUAUAGCUUAGAAGCAGUUGGUGGUUUUUUUUUUCAGCUCGAGCGAAACUUACUGCAAAGGCUUGGUGUUUUGCUACAAAAUUCUCAGUCUGAUUUUUGGAGAGAAGCUAGAUUUAUAGUUAACACGGGGAGACAGCUCGCAUCACACAAAAAUGGUGAGUGCUCACGAGCUCUUACUUCUGUGUAGCCUUGAAUGUUGCAAUUUUUAUCUCUUCAUGAUCAUAACAUAUCACUGGUUACAGGUAGAGUUCGAUGUAGCAAAUCGUGGAGAACUUGGAAUUCACCAGAGCUCAUCUCAAUUUCACCUAUAGCCGUAGUAGCUGGUGCAGAAACAAGUUUGGUAUUAAGAGGUAGAAGCUUGACUAACGAUGGGAUCAGGUAAACUUAAAAAAAAAAUCAGUUUCAUAGUGUUUCUAAUCUUUUCUUAUUUCUUUCUAACCUAUAUUAUCAUUGUGCUGCCAGUAUUCGUUGCACACAUAUGGGCACCUACAUGUCGAUGGAAGUAAUUGGAGCAGGAUGUAGACAAGCAGUAUUUGAUGAGUUGAAUGUAAAUAAUUUCAAAGUGCAAAAUGCACAGCCGGGUUUUCUUGGACGCUGUUUCAUUGAGGUAUAACUUCAUAUAACUGAACUUCCUAACUGAACUUAGUAAUUUACUUUGUCAGUCUAGAGAUGUUGAAAGUCUAGUUUGUGUCCAGGUGGAGAAUGGAUUCAGGGGUGACAGUUUUCCAUUGAUAAUUGCCAAUGCAUCCAUCUGCAAAGAGUUAAAUCGCCUUGAAGAAGAGUUUCACCCCAAAAGUCCGUCAGAAGAACAAGCUCAGAGCUCAGAUCGACGUCCCACAUCAAGAGAAGAAGUUUUGUGCUUCUUGAAUGAGCUUGGUUGGCUUUUCCAGAAGAACCAGACCUCUGAACUUCGGGAACAAUCCGACUUUUCCCUUGCCCGCUUCAAGUUUUUGCUCGUUUGCUCAGUUGAAAGAGAUUACUGUGCUCUCAUCAGAACACUCCUUGACAUGUUAGUAGAGAGAAAUUUGGUGAAUAAUGAGCUGAACACAGAAGCCUUGAAUAUGCUCGCUGAGAGUCAGUUGUUGAAUCGUGCUGUUAAGAGGAAAAGCACAAAAAUGGUCGAACUACUUAUUCAUUACCCAGUUAAUCCCUCGGCACUCAAGUCCUCUAACAACUUUGUUUUCUUACCCAACAUAACUGGACCUGGCGGUAUCACACCUUUACAUCUAGCUGCGUGUACAUCUGGGUCAGAUGAUAUGGUUGAUCUGCUGACAAAUGACUCACAAGAGGUAUGGCUCUCUCCCUCUUGCUGCCUCUCUCAAACGUAAUUUUAUUUCUUGCAACCCAUAAGACUGAGGAAACCGUAUUGCUGUUUCAGGUCGGAUUAUCAAGCUGGAACACUCUUUGUGAUGCAGCCGGCCAAACUCCAUACAGCUACGCUGCAAUGAGGAACAACCAUAGCUAUAACUCUCUGGUGGCUCGUAAACUUGCAGACAAAAGAAACAAGCAAGUCUCACUAAACAUUGAGAACGAGAUUGUUGACCAAAGGGGUAUGAGCAAGAGAUUAAGUUCAGAGAUGAACAAAUCAUCUUGUGCGUCGUGUGCAACCGUGGCUCUCAAGUAUCAGAGGAGAGUUUCAGGUUCACACCGUUUGUUCCCAACGCCUAUCAUUCACUCAAUGCUCGCAGUUGCAACAGUCUGCGUUUGCGUCUGCGUUUUCAUGCAUGCUUUCCCAAUCGUGAGACAAGGAUCUCACUUCAGUUGGGGAGGUUUGGAUUAUGGCUCAAUCUAGACAACAACAUAUAUAUAAAUUAUAAUUUUAUUCUUUUGGUUUCACAAAAUAAGAGAAAAAGGGAAGAGACUUCGCACGAAUAUAUAAGGAAAAGCUCAGAGACUUGACUGUGACAACGACCAAAGUGUGACUACAGUAGUAUUACUCAAGGGAGUUUCACCGUCGGGAGUUCUUUUUUUUUUUUUUCAAUUAUAUAUAUUUUGGUUUGGCUAAUUUGUUGUGUGUAUUUCUGUGUAUUUUGUUUCUAUAUUUUGAUUAUGAUUAUUCUUUAACUAAGAUAAUAACCUGCUGCUUCAUAUAAGAGGCAGUUGUUUUACUGUUUUUUUGUAUUUUGGUUCUUGUAAAUUUGUACUUUGUACAACUAGCUCCUUGUUCAUGUUGUAACUUGAAUAACAUUGUUUUUUUCUUUCUUUUUUGUCGAAAGUCUAAAUGCAUUACCAUUUGAAACUUACAUUACUAUUACAUGAUAUAGAACGAUGUUUGUGUAAACAAUAUGAAGAUGGAGUAAUCUUGUCACAUAUGCCUCUUAUGUCAACGAUUCCCUUGUCGGGAUUCUCAAACAUCAAACCUCACAAGUUAGUGUAUUGUUUUGCAUGAUCUUGUAGCUCAUUUGAUUUAAUGGCUUAGCUCCACCUCGUGAGUUCAAGUCAUGGCAGAGUAGGAGAGGAGGCAAAGAAGAUACACACUUUAUCCAAAAAGAAACUGAAAACUCAUGAGAUAUCUUUUAGUUCAAAGGAAUUUAUAUUUGUCACAAGUAGACAAUGAAUUUUUUUUUGAGAUUAGUGUGAUUUGAUUACUUCAUACUAAACGACGUACUUAAUGACAUUGAAAGGAAACGAUGUCGAAAAAGAAAUUAUGGAUCUCGAUUAAUUUGAAGAAGUAAAAAACAGAAAUGUUUUUGGACUAUCAAAUCAAAAAAUUUAACUUUAAUCAAUGGAUAAAAAGCAAAUGGGAAAUGUCUUGGAUCGAAUAUUACCAUGUAAAUGCCCUCGUUUCUGUUUGAAUUUACAGAAUGUGCCACCACCGUAGAAAACAAAUAAGAAAGAAAAAAAAAAGUUAUCGUAGAAGGUAAGGACUUGAAGACAGCAGAACACGGAUUAAACAAAAAAAAAAGCUUGAUCAGCGGAAAAAAGAAGAAGGACAAGUUUGAGACUUUGGGGAUUUUAAGAAGGUGGGUCGAAGCUGGUGAAGAGGAAUAAUCAAAUCAUUUCUCUUGUUUUGCUGGAUUGGAUCGGGAAAUCUACAAGUGUUUGAAGAUUCGUUUUUUGAAAAUUUGUUCGAAUCUGAACAAGUUCUUAACAUUCGAAUUCGGGUGAUGUUUAGCUUGAUUCGUCUCCAGCUUUCGUUGAAUCGAGGAAGAGUUUAUGCUUGAAGCUGCCAAGAUUCUGAUUUUGGGUUUAUUGAUUAGAGAAGUUUUCUAGCUAGGCGGUAGAUAUGUUGAGUAUGUACGGUGGCUCGGUAGAUAUGUUCUUCUGCAAAUACUGAAUCUUCUUCUUCUUCAUCAUCAAGCUGAUUGAUCAAAGUCUAUUUUUGGAAUUUGAAAAGAAGAGACUUUAAAAAAAGGGUCAGAUCGAUUUCGGAGGAGAGAGAGAGAGAUAUGGAUGAGGUAGGUGCUCAAGUAGCUACUCCGAUGUUCAUUCAUCCGUCGCUAUCUCCGAUGGGGAGAAAACGUGAUCUUUACUAUCCGAUGUCGACUCGGCUGGUACCGUCGUCUCAGCCGCAGCCGCAGCGAAGAGAUGAGUGGAACUCUAAGAUGUGGGAUUGGGAUAGCCGGAGAUUUGAAGCUACACCGGUGGAAGCUCAGGUUCUUCUUCUGGGCAACGAGACACAACAGUUUGAUUUGACUUCAAGGAAUAAGAGUGGAGAAGAAAGAGGACUUGAUUUGAAUCUGGGAAGUGGUUUGACUGCGGAGGAAGACACCACAACGACGACGACGCAGAACAUUAGACCGAACAAGAAGGUUCGUUCUGGAUCUCCGGGAGGGAAUUAUCCGAUGUGUCAGGUGGAUAAUUGUACUGAAGAUUUAUCUCAUGCUAAGGAUUAUCACAGAAGGCAUAAAGUGUGUGAAGUUCAUAGCAAAGCUACCAAAGCUCUCGUUGGGAAACAGAUGCAGAGGUUUUGCCAACAGUGCAGCAGGUAAGGAAGAAGAGUGAUUUGUUCUUAUUGUAUCCAAUUUGAUUUUUUUCUGGUGAUGGUUCUCUGUUUUUUUUUUUUUUUUUCUUAAUCUGGUUAUGAAUGAUUUUCGCAGGUUUCAUCUGCUCUCGGAGUUUGAUGAAGGAAAGAGAAGUUGUAGGCGUAGAUUGGCUGGCCACAACCGAAGGAGGAGGAAGACAACACAGCAGGAGGAGGUUGUCGUUCCGGGGAACCGUGAUAAUUCGUCUAACGCCAAUAUGGAUCUUAUGGCUUUGUUAACCGCCUUAGCUUGUGCACAAGGUAUUAGCUUGCGAAUAUACAAGAGUUUUUUUUUUGUCUUGGAAUUCUGCUCGGAUGUUCUUGUUUUAUUAACAGCUUUGUUGUCUGCGAGCUGCAGGUAAGAAUGAGGUAAAGCCAGUGACUACUUCUCCAGCUGUGCCUGAUAGAGAGCAGCUUCUUCAGAUACUUACCAAGAUAAAUGCAUUGCCGUUGCCUAUGGACCUUGUCUCUAAGUUGAACAAUAUUGGAAAUUUAGCCAGGAAAAAUCUGGAUCAACCAAUGGCGCACCCCCCAAAUGAUAUGAAUGGCGCUUCUCCUUCUACAAUGGACUUGCUUGCUGUUCUUUCGUCAACGUUAGGCUCCUCUUCACCUGAUACGCUAGCCAUAUUGUCUCAAGGUGGGUUUGGUUACAAAGACAGUGACAAGACUAAGUUAUCUUCUUAUGAUCACGGUGUUGCAACCAAUGUGGAAAAGAGAACUUUAGGGUUUUCUUCUGGUGGGGGAGAGAGGAGCAGUAGCAGUAACCUAUCUCCAUCUCAGGAUUCAGAUUCACGUGCUCAAGACACUAGGUCUAGCCUGUCUCUACAAUUAUUUACCUCAUCUCCCGAGGAUGAGAGUCGACCAACAGUGGCAUCUUCUCGAAAGUAUUAUUCUUCUGCAAGCAGUAAUCCUGUUGAGGAUAGAUCUCCGUCGUC
Molecule: long non-coding RNA, 5811 nt
Filed under: Capsella rubella
Lineage: Eukaryota; Viridiplantae; Streptophyta; Magnoliopsida; Brassicales; Brassicaceae
Description: long non-coding RNA (CRUB_LNC004721)
Source: RNAcentral